CCCUUAGACGUUCUGGGCCGCACGCGCGCUACACUGACACAGGCAACGAGCUUUCCUUUACCGAAAGGUAUGGGUAAUCUUUUGAAACUGUGUCGUGCUGGGGAUAGAUCCUUGCAAUUUUUGAUCUUAAACGAGGAAUUCCUAGUAAGCGCGAGUCAUCAACUCGCGUUGAUUACGUCCCUGCCCUUUGUACACACCGCCCGUCGCUAUUACCGAUUGAAUGGCUUAGCGAGGCCUCAGGAUCCGCGCUUAAUGUGUGGAGAAUUUGGACAAACUACGUCAUUUAGAGGAAGUAAAAGUCGUAACA
RNAcentral lists this ribosomal RNA (307 nucleotides) under uncultured eukaryote. RNAcentral's name for it is "partial 18S ribosomal RNA". It matches the Rfam family "Eukaryotic small subunit ribosomal RNA", at positions 1470 to 1796 of the family's 1831-position model. The record is from RNAcentral.